RNAcentral lists this ribosomal RNA (802 nucleotides) under uncultured archaeon. RNAcentral's name for it is "bacterial SSU rRNA". The record is from RNAcentral.
GAAAGCUCGGUACCGWGCUCGGAUCCACUAGUAACGGCCGCCAGUGUGCUGGAAUUCGCCCUUACGUGNUCAGUAACACGUGGACAACCUACCCUAUGGAGGGGGAUAACCCCGGGAAACUGGGGAUAAUACCCCAUAGACUAUAGAUGCUGGAAUGCUUUGUAGUUGAAAGGCCCGCCGCCAUAGGAUGGGUCUGCGGCCGAUUAGGUUGUUGUUGGGGUAACGGCCCAACAAGCCUGUAAUCGGUACGGGUUGUGGGAGCAAGAGCCCGGAGAUGGAUUCUGAGACACGAAUCCAGGCCCUACGGGGCGCAGCAGGCGCGAAAACUUUACAAUGCGGGAAACCGUGAUAAGGGAACUCCGAGUGCCCGUAAAAUCGGGCUGUCCAUCUGUUUAAAUAACAGGUGAAGAAAGGGCCGGGCAAGACCGGUGCCAGCCGCCGCGGUAAUACCGGCGGUUCGAGUGGUGGCCACUAUUACUGGGCUUAAAGCGUUCGUAGCUGGUCUGUUAAGUCUCUGGGGAAAUCUACUGGCUUAACCAAUAGGCGUCUCAGGGAUACUGGCAGACUAGGGACCGGGAGAGGUGAGAGGUACUCCAGGGGUAGGAGUGAAAUCCUGUAAUCCUUGGGGGACCACCUGUGGCGAANGCGUCUCACCAGAACGGNUUCCGACAGUGAGGGACGAAAGCUUGGGGGAGCAAACCGGAUUAGAUACCCCGGUAGUCCCAGCCGUAAACGAAUGCCCGUUAGGUGGUAUCGGUGACCACGAGUCAACCGACGUGCCGAAGAAGAAUCGUGAACGUGC